Nematostella vectensis (starlet sea anemone) is the source of this 2211-nucleotide long non-coding RNA. RefSeq lists it as uncharacterized. Lineage: Eukaryota; Metazoa; Cnidaria; Anthozoa; Actiniaria; Edwardsiidae. The transcript has 2 exons. The record is from RefSeq and is a predicted model, not a curated record.
AUCUUCACAAAUGCGGCAUUUUUCCCUGUCAAAGAACAGGAUACCCCACCCCAUGUCAAAAGCCUUUUACAAAAUCAGCGCUUUUCCGGGAACUGCAUCAAGUUGUAACAGAUAAGGCUUGCCUGGGAAUGCCGAAGUGCCAGGUCCAAACAGGGGCCACAGUCGAAGAGGAAACGUGGUAAAAGACCGGAAAAAUGUGGGCCCUCUUACUGAUUGUAGUCGAAAAUUUCCCAGUAGUGAUAUGUCAGAUCAGAUGUUCCGAAUAACGAUAUCGUUGAAUAGCUUCAGCGGAAGUUCUUUAUGAACAUUGCACAACUAACAUAUAAAAGGGUCUGGGGAUAUAGCCAGACAAAAAAUCGCAAAUCUGUAAAACUAUUCAAAUAAACAAUAUACUUAAAAGCGCAAUCAAGAAAAAAAUCUAAUCAAAAGAACAGCCACUAUCUAGACAAAGAAAUCAAUGAAAGGGAUAGUUGGCAUUUCGCAGCGUGAAACGAAAGAAUAUUUGAUCAGAUUGACGGACUAUACUAUAAUGGUCGAAUAACAGCAAUAAUCAACUAUAAUAACAAACUCUAAAUACGAAAACAAAACAGAAAACAAUGUAAUGAGGUAUACCUUGGAGGUCUUUUCGCAUAUUGUAGGAGCUCAGCACUUGGAGCGAAUUUUCAUCAAAUCCGAUCAAGAAAGGCGAAUCGCUCACUGCAUAUGUCUUCCCUUUGAGAGCUACGACAUUCACAGAGCAGUUGUCCGUUCUUUUGGGCGGCACGAAAUAGGAGAAAAAUCGCGCGAAGAUGUUCUUGCAUGGGUCAGGAGGAAUAGGCGUUGCAAAUUCGGCGUAGACAAUUCCAUUCUUGGACUGGGCUUCGUCAAACGCAUGGCUUCGCAGAUAUCGACUGUUAUAGGUUACUUUUCCCUCUUCUAUCUUGUAAUUGUGCAGCACAGCUAAGCCGUCAAACCAGUGAUUAUAGUGCUCUUUGCCUAUCUCGUAAACGCCGGGGCCAUUUCGUAGGAGAUUCCCCUUGAUCCAGGCAGGGACGUUUCCGCUAAUGCUAGCUUCUUGAGCUGUUGGUUGUUCGGGGAACGUCUGGUAGACAUCUUCCAUUCUAAGUGAGCUUCGUGAUAUUCGUGUGAUGCUCUAUGGGCCUAAGAAAUUAGUUCUGAUAGCCGUUUGGACAGAUUGGUGCUAUUUAUAGCUGUGGGGGUAUCCCACACUUUGUGUUGACAGUUUCAAGGAUACUUAUAUCAGUAUUGACAGAAAGCCGCUUGUAUUACGGAAUCACGAGUUGGCGCGUCCUGUGCCUUUUGUCUGUGUGAACUCAAAUGCGAGAUUUUUUAAUAAGAAUAAUAUGUACUUUCAUUUAGAUACUGAGACAAUUUACAGGCGAACCUGCAAUGUCUUGAAAACCCUUCUAUUUUGCAUUCAUCGUAUCCUUGUUUUUAGCUUCAUUAGGGAAAGGACGGAUGUUGUGUAGGCGUCGAGGCGGCCGCGUAGCCGUGACGAGCGAUUACAAUUGAACUUUACCGCGCGUUACACUGUCCAGGCGAAUGACGCACAAGAAACAGUUCUGAUUGGUUUAAAAAUAGGACAAGCCCUAAACUGGAUUGGUGCAUUUCUUGUUGGCACCAUAACUGCUUUAUAAAGCUAAAACCGGCUGUGAAUGAGUGCGGAACAUAUGUUUUAUAAUAUGUUCACAUGCGUCGAAUCGAAGAAAACUACGGUACAAGUGGUUCGAUGGUAAUCUGAGCACAAAAGCAAUAACUCCCAAUGUGCAAUCAAAUACCAAAAGAUAAUGCGGUUAUUGUCUCAUUACUGUCGCAAAGGUAUCAAUAGCCAAUGAUUUUUGAUUGAAUUUUAGUGAUGUCACGACUAAAAGACUUCACAAAAUCACUCCUUCUUCGAGAAGAUUCCAGAUGGAACGAGAACCACAGCGUUACACUUAUCACGGUGACGUAAUCCAAAACUUUACUAAUCACCCUAAUAAACUGAUAAAAUGUCAAAAUAUGAUGCAAUUACGACGUAGCAGAGGAUAAAAAAAACUCGAUCAAAUGCCCGAAGCAGUCUCACGGAGCAGUUUCACGGAAUCCCCUUCACACUACGUAAAUCAAGAAAGACGCCGUGCUACUUUGACAUUUUCUCAGUCCCGCCACAGGCGGACCAGGAUUAGAAUCAGUCCCUCGUGAUCCUUCAGGAAAAUAAAAUAUAAUUUGAAGUUG